GGCGCUAUCGUCUAGGGGUUAGGACGUAAGAUUCUCAUUCUUAAAACAGGGGUUCGAUUCCCCUUAGCGCUACUA
This 75-nucleotide transfer RNA is filed under the name Odoribacter sp. CAG:788. RNAcentral's name for it is "transfer RNA-Glu(CTC)". It matches the Rfam family "tRNA". Rfam says of the family: Transfer RNA (tRNA) molecules are approximately 80 nucleotides in length. Their secondary structure includes four short double-helical elements and three loops (D, anti-codon, and T loops). RNAcentral also lists the same sequence under 2 other names. Lineage: Bacteria; Pseudomonadati; Bacteroidota; Bacteroidia; Bacteroidales; Odoribacteraceae. The record is from RNAcentral.